Molecule: ribosomal RNA, 253 nt
Filed under: uncultured bacterium
Lineage: Bacteria
Description: partial 16S ribosomal RNA
Rfam family: Bacterial small subunit ribosomal RNA
Source: RNAcentral
UACGGAGGGUGCAAGCGUUGCUCGGAAUUAUUGGGCGUAAAGGGUAGGUAGGUGGUCUCAUUUGUCUGGGGUGAAAGCCUUGGGCUUAACCUAAGAAGUGCCUCAGAAACGGUGAGACUAGAGUCCUAGAGAGGGUCGUGGAAUUCCCGGUGUAGCGGUGAAAUGCGUAGAGAUCGGGAGGAACACCAGAGGCGAAGGCGGCGACCUGGAUAGGAACUGACACUCAACUACGAAAGCGUGGGGAGCAAACAGG